RNAcentral lists this transfer RNA (73 nucleotides) under Gammaproteobacteria bacterium. RNAcentral's name for it is "tRNA-OTHER". It matches the Rfam family "tRNA". From Rfam's summary of the family: Transfer RNA (tRNA) molecules are approximately 80 nucleotides in length. Their secondary structure includes four short double-helical elements and three loops (D, anti-codon, and T loops). Further hydrogen bonds mediate the characteristic L-shaped molecular structure. tRNAs have two regions of fundamental functional importance: the anti-codon, which is responsible for specific mRNA codon recognition, and the 3' end, to which the tRNAs corresponding amino acid is attached (by aminoacyl-tRNA synthetases). tRNAs cope with the degeneracy of the genetic code in two manners: having more than one tRNA (with a specific anti-codon) for a particular amino acid; and 'wobble' base-pairing, i.e. permitting non-standard base-pairing at the 3rd anti-codon position. The record is from RNAcentral. Lineage: Bacteria; Pseudomonadati; Pseudomonadota; Gammaproteobacteria.
GGGCCGUUAGCUCAGUUGAUAGAGUAGCUGACUCGGUAGCUUGUCGUAGGUUCGAUCCCUACACAGCCCACAA